Non-coding RNA from Nelumbo nucifera (sacred lotus), 2391 nucleotides. NCBI's taxonomy places the organism in Eukaryota, Viridiplantae, Streptophyta, Magnoliopsida, Proteales, Nelumbonaceae. The record is from RefSeq and is a predicted model, not a curated record.
CUCUCUCUCUCUCUCUUCACUUCUGCUCUGUAUUAGUGCUGAAGCUUCUCUGCUCUAACAAUGGUGAUCUCCAUCUUAAUUAUCUAUUUUUUCUUCACAUUUUCUUUUUCGCCGUCCUUUGUGUUGAAUUACUGGGGGGUAGAGUUUUCUAUUCUGUUAAAUUUCCUGAUUUCUACAAUGGACUUGAAUUCAUUUGUCAUCGAAUGCAAUAACCUAGCGAGGAUAUACAAUUGACGAGAUUAGUGAUUGUUUUUCUGUAAUAUCAGCAGCAAAUCCAGUAGGAUUAUACAUACUAUUCUUUGAUGGAUUGUCUAUUUUUGUGAAGAGGAUUAUUGGCUAUUUGCGAACUUAAUUGCUUUGCUAGGGCAUUUGCAAUUCUUUCCGUUCUUCCUCCUUUAUGUAGAAUUUUCUACUGCGCAUAGUGUGUGAAAUAGUUACAGCACAAAAAGGAAGGGAGUAAUUAUGGAAAAGGAGGUUUAUCACAUCUUACUUAUUUACUUUUGUGAUUUCGGUCUUGCAUGGGAUGAUUUAAGAGCUAUAUGCCUAUAUAUACUCUUUAAACCUUUGUAGCCAUUGUGCUAGGGGAGAGAUCCAACAUUUGCUCCAUGAUCACCAACACCAAUUCACAGGCAUUGCUGUGUAGAAGUGUUUGUUGUCCUGAAGAGGAGUCUAACACUCUACAUGGACAUAGGCCAAAGGCCUCAUAACGUAAAUCUGUAUGUGCUCUGUUCUUCUUUUCUUUCCUCGCAUAAUCUCUGUUUUGCUUUGUUCUGUGCCAUUCGAAUCUGUUUGUUUCUGAGUUUUGUUUAACAAACGUCGUGCUUAGUAUCAUCCCCAUGGAUGACCCUCAUCAGGUAUGUGCUCUGAAUUGGCUCUUCAUGUACAUGAGUGUAUUCCCUGACUCUUACAUGCCUUAUUACAGUCUGCCAUUGAAUUAAUGCCAAGUUUGUUACGUUUUUCUCUUAACCACAACCCAUUGUUAUAUUAUUUACUUAACUAAUUAGUGGUUUCAGUUAUUACAUAAUAGUCGGUAUCUUCCUUGGUUGAUCACUUUAUAUGUUGCUGCUCUGGAAUGCAAAUGGGACGAGGAAUUGUAGGUGCUAGUAGUAAUAUCUCGUCCACCAGUGAAAGUGUUUAUAUGACACGACUGGUUCACAUCACAUGCUGCAAACUGCAGCUAAAUUGAAGUUCUAUUUUUGGGAUGAAGACUGCUUCCAUACACUAAGAGAUGAAUUGUGAUUUAUUUUUGUGCCACCUUAUCGAAUUGUUUUAGCUGAUCUAAAACUUGUGCCAUGCAUUGUUAGAUUAGGAAUGCCAUAGACAAAACCCAACAUAUGGAAAUGGACAGGGUGUUCAUAGUGAAAAAAGGAUAAGAAGAGAUGACUAAGAUUGCAUGAUUGGAGGCAAAGUAGGGUCCUACAUUAACAAAGCAUGUGGAAAUGAAAAGAGAGCUAAAAGUUUUCUUUUUCUCAAUUCCAUGUAUCUUCUCUUUUGAUGUACAAGAGGAACUUCAACCAUGAGGAAAAUACUUAAACUGAAAAUUUGAUGGCACACUGGCACCUGAAUCUUGGGCUUCAAUGUCCUAUAUAGCCAGUUUUAGUAUGUCACUUCAUUGAAUUACUCAUGACUAUUCCCCCUUGUUUCCAAUUUGGAACAUCUUGUGUUUUAUCAUGUACUCAAAACAUAGGUCGCUUUUAAAGCACAAAUCUUGGUAGUGUAACACAAUGCAUCAGGUUUGUUGUCAUCCUAGAGCUGGGCUGUUACAUUGGUCAAGCUAAAAGCCUAAAACUGUUGGAUUGGAAAUUUCAGCUGGGGAUUGUUUCUUUUGGAAUUGGCACCCUUUCAUGGUUUAUAGGGCUAUAACCUGGUAUUGGAAGAAUGGAAGUCUUGGUUUUGGGACACAGUAGAGUCUUUUCCUGAAGUUGACAUGACAGAAGAGGAACACCAAUGUCCUCAAGGAACAAUUAAUGCACAUUUCCUCCACACCCAGUGACAGUGAGUUUAUACAUCGACAUCAUGGUGGGCCUCUCUCACAAACCUCAGCCAGUGAUCCAUCCUCAAGCCUGUCUCAGUGCAGCCGACAGCGAUAGACAUCCACUUGGGAGGCAGCCACGAAUUGUUUUGCGUGUACCCUCUCAGCCAGAAAGCAUCUAUUCUCUGUACUGCUGCACGCUUGCACACCCCCCCCCCCAUCCUGUCCUUCCAUUUUUCAUUUUCAUUGUCCUGUCAUCUUGUCUGGCCUUUGCCGUGCUCUCUCAGCAAACAACUAGACAGCAGUGGCGUUUUAAUUUGAUAACUAUAUGAAAACGUUUCAAAAUCUGAAAUUUGCGUCUCUGCCUCACUUGUCAUUAAAUGUACUCAUUUGUACAAGCAAGGUUCAGACUUCAGAGG